RNAcentral lists this ribosomal RNA (607 nucleotides) under uncultured bacterium. RNAcentral describes it as "bacterial SSU rRNA". It matches the Rfam family "Bacterial small subunit ribosomal RNA", at positions 841 to 1447 of the family's 1533-position model. The record is from RNAcentral.
GGGGGGCGCAGCUAACGCAUUAAGUUAUCCGCCUGGGGAGUACGGUCGCAAGGAUUAAAACUCAAAGGAAUUGACGGGGGCCUGCACAAGCGGUGGAGCAUGUGGUUUAAUUGGAAGCAACGCGCAGAACCUUACCAGCCUUUGACAUCCUAGGACGGUUUCUGGAGACAGACUCCUUCCCUUCGGGGACCUAGUGACAGGUGCUGCAUGGCUGUCGUCAGCUCGUGUCGUGAGAUGUUGGGUUAAGUCCCGCAACGAGCGCAACCCUCGUCCUUAGUUGCCAUCAUUUAGUUGGGCACUUUAAGGAAACUGCCGGUGAUAAGCCGGAGGAAGGUGGGGAUGACGUCAAGUCCUCAUGGCCCUUACAGGCUGGGCUACACACGUGCUACAAUGGCAUCUACAGUGGGCAGCUAUCCCGCAAGGGUGAGCUAAUCUCCAAAAGAUGUCUCAGUUCGGAUUGUCCUCUGCAACUCGAGGGCAUGAAGGCGGAAUCGCUAGUAAUCGCGGAUCAGCAUGCCGCGGUGAAUACGUUCCCAGGCCUUGUACACACCGCCCGUCACACCAUGGGAGUUGGAUUCACCCGAAGGCAGUGCGCUAACCGCAAGGA